RNAcentral lists this ribosomal RNA (253 nucleotides) under uncultured bacterium. Its description in RNAcentral is "partial 16S ribosomal RNA". It matches the Rfam family "Bacterial small subunit ribosomal RNA", at positions 524 to 776 of the family's 1533-position model. The record is from RNAcentral.
UACGGAGGGGGCUAGCGUUGUUCGGAAUUACUGGGCGUAAAGCGCACGUAGGCGGCUUCUUAAGUCGGUGGUGAAAUCCUGGAGCUCAACUCCAGAACUGCCUUCGAUACUGGGAAGCUCGAGUCCGGGAGAGGUGAGUGGAACUGCGAGUGUAGAGGUGAAAUUCGUAGAUAUUCGCAAGAACACCAGUGGCGAAGGCGGCUCACUGGCCCGGUACUGACGCUGAGGUGCGAAAGCGUGGGGAGCAAACAGG